Molecule: non-coding RNA, 73 nt
Organism: Stegodyphus mimosarum
Lineage: Eukaryota; Metazoa; Arthropoda; Arachnida; Araneae; Eresidae
Source: Rfam
GCCUUUGUGGUGUAGUGGUUAGCACGCUCGGUGUGUAACCGAGAGGUCCGUGGUUCAAUUCCCGGCGAAGGCG